This 1060-nucleotide long non-coding RNA is filed under the name Cricetulus griseus (Chinese hamster). Its description in RNAcentral is "lncRNA (ENSCGRG00015039279.1)". Lineage: Eukaryota; Metazoa; Chordata; Mammalia; Rodentia; Cricetidae. The record is from RNAcentral.
GUCACCAGUCACUGGGCCCUUUGGUGGUGACCUUCUCUGCAGCUGUGGUCUGGUCAGACUCAGCUUACCCAGCUGUGCAGCCUGUCCAGGCUGAGGCCAGGAUGUUCUGCUCCAAGAAAAUGAAAAGCUAUGUAUGGAUUCCUUCCAGACUAAUAUGGUUUGAUCAAGCAAGACCCCAUGAAGCUGAGAUGAUACAGCCUUACAGACUACAAAAACAAGGACUUGGGUCAGAUUUCUGUAUUUUAUCUUAACCCCUAUGACAUGAACAUUGCCCCUAAUCAGCAGGAAGCAGUUUAGAAGGAACAACGCCCAUAUUCCCAAAUAUUUUUUGUAAAUGUUUGUUUUCAUUUAAAUGGGGUUGGUUACAAAUGAUAAUGAGCAUAGUCAAUCUCUUUUUAAGGAACAAAAAAAAACGAGGAAUAGGAUAUAGGAAUGAAUACUUUGCAUUGGUAUAGAUUUUCAUUUAUUGAUACAACUUUAAGGUCAAUUUUGUGAUAGGUAUAUGUUUAGGUAUUGUGUUUAUACAGAUCUUUUACCUAUAAUAGUCAGAAUUUAUAAUUAGGUUAGUUAAGUUUUCUAGAUAUAGAGAUGUGUUUGAGAUGGUUAGGUACUCUUCAAACUUUUCAAAGACCUACAGAAAUAUGGCAUUUAAAUGGUUUAGGGUUUUUCUUGGCAGUGAGACACAACUGCUCCUGGCACACCAAUUAUGUCAGAAAGGAGGAUGGGCAUCGAAGAAACUCAUUAUGGAGUUUGCUUUCAACAUGGCAAGAUUAGCCAUUUGGGCAAGAAACUGCUCUUGCCUGGACUGUUUGUUGCUGUAUAAACUGGACAUACAGGACCCACAAGAAAAUGACUACUGAACUUAUAAAACAAGACUGUACUGAAGGGUUCCUGUUGAAAUAGAGAAGUGUGCCAGACACACUGUGGCCUUAAAGGCUGAAGAUGGAUGCCCCAACGUUACAGAGGAACUUGGGUGACUGUCCAGGUAGCGAGAUGUCCUGUCAAUUCUAGAGUUUAUAUAUUUUCCUUCUGUGGUCUUUGAUAGAGUUGAAGAGAGAUA